AUACGUAGGUGACAAGCGUUAUCCGGAUUUACUGGGCGUAAAGGGCGUGUAGGCGGUCUUGCAAGUCAGAAGUGAAAUUCCUGAGCUCAACUCGGGCGCUGCUUCUGAAACUGCAGGACUUGAGUGCUGGAGGGGAUAGCGGAAUUCCUAGUGGAGCGGUAAAAUGCGCAGAUAUUAGGAAGAACACCGGUGGCGAAGGCGGCUAUCUGGCCAGUAACUGACGUUGAGGCGCGAAAGCGUGGGGAGAAAACAGGAUUAGAUACCCGGGUAGUCCACGCCGUAAACGAUGAAUACUAGGUGUAGGGGGUAUCGACUCCCUCUGUGCCGCAGUUAACACAAUAAGUAUUCCGCCUGGGGAGUACGGCCGCAAGGUUGAAACUCAAAUGAAUUGACGGGG
RNAcentral lists this ribosomal RNA (397 nucleotides) under uncultured bacterium. Its description in RNAcentral is "partial 16S ribosomal RNA". It matches the Rfam family "Bacterial small subunit ribosomal RNA", at positions 523 to 918 of the family's 1533-position model. The record is from RNAcentral.